AUUAGGCUUAUCAUAGAAGUCUGGCAUGAUUGGGUUAAUGAUUUUUUAACUAUCUAGUUUAUAUGAAGAAUUUUAUAGCUAAGUCAAAAAGCUUAACUUUUUAGAGGGACGAUAAGACCCUAUAAAGCUUCAUCUAAAAGUAUUUUUAAGGAAGGAAAAAAGACAGGAGGAUUGGGCUGGGGCGGCUAUUAAGAUUCUUUGAUUUAAGUAACAAGAUUUAUGAAACCAAAGAUCUCUAAAGAGUUAGAAUAAGCUACUUUAGGGAUAACAGCGCAAUUUUCUUAUAGAGAUCUUAUUGAUAAGAAAGACUUGUGACCUCGAUGUUGAAUUGAGGGGCCUAAAUUAAGCAGGCAUAAUUUUAGGAAGUCUGUUCGACUUUUAAUUCCUCA
This 389-nucleotide ribosomal RNA is filed under the name Haploniscus sp. KKT TR-2023a. RNAcentral's name for it is "partial 16S ribosomal RNA". The record is from RNAcentral. Lineage: Eukaryota; Metazoa; Arthropoda; Malacostraca; Isopoda; Haploniscidae.